This 460-nucleotide ribosomal RNA is filed under the name uncultured bacterium. RNAcentral describes it as "partial 16S ribosomal RNA". It matches the Rfam family "Bacterial small subunit ribosomal RNA", at positions 338 to 795 of the family's 1533-position model. The record is from RNAcentral.
CCUACGGGGGGCUGCAGUGAGGAAUAUUGGUCAAUGGGCGCGAGCCUGAACCAGCCAAGUCGCGUGAGGGAGGACGGCCCUACGGGUUGUAAACCUCUUUUGCCGGGGAGCAACGGGCGUCACGUGUGGCGCCACUGAGAGUACCCGGAGAAAAAGCAUCGGCUAACUCCGUGCCAGCAGCCGCGGUAAUACGGAGGAUGCGAGCGUUAUUCGGAUUUAUUGGGUUUAAAGGGUGCGUAGGCGGACUGGAAAGUCAGCGGUAAAAUCGAGAGGCUCAACCUCUUUCCGCCGUUGAAACUGUCGGUCUUGAGUGGGCGAGAAGUAUGCGGAAUGCGUGGUGUAGCGGUGAAAUGCAUAGAUAUCACGCAGAACUCCGAUUGCGAAGGCAGCAUACCGGCGCCCGACUGACGCUGAGGCACGAAAGCGUGGGUAUCGAACAGGAUUAGAUACCCGUGUAGUC